UGGGGAAUAUUGCACAAUGGGCGCAAGCCUGAUGCAGCCAUGCCGCGUGUGUGAAGAAGGCCUUCGGGUUGUAAAGCACUUUCAGCGGGGAGGAAGGCGUUAAGGUUAAUAACCUUGGCGAUUGACGUUACCCGCAGAAGAAGCACCGGCUAACUCCGUGCCAGCAGCCGCGGUAAUACGGAGGGUGCAAGCGUUAAUCGGAAUUACUGGGCGUAAAGCGCACGCAGGCGGUUUGUUAAGUCAGAUGUGAAAUCCCCGGGCUCAACCUGGGAACUGCAUCGGAUACUGGCAAGCUUGAGUCUCGUAGAGGGGGGUAGAAUUCCAGGUGUAGCGGUGAAAUGCGUAGAGAUCUGGAGGAAUACCGGUGGCGAAGGCGGCCCCCUGGACGAAGACUGACGCUCAGGUGCGAAAGCGUGGGGAGCAAACAGG
Molecule: ribosomal RNA, 429 nt
Filed under: Chloroflexota bacterium
Lineage: Bacteria; Bacillati; Chloroflexota
Description: Chloroflexi bacterium partial 16S ribosomal RNA
Rfam family: Bacterial small subunit ribosomal RNA
Source: RNAcentral